CACAACUAGCCAAUUUCCAAAUAAUCUCAAAAUAAUUUUCCAUAUUGCAUGUGAAUAAUCCAUAUUCACAAAAGAAUCCAUAUCCACAAGUGAGUUAUGGCCCUUGAUGACAUGAAGAAUUAGAUUACUCAGGCCUUCUUUUCUGAAGAUGUAGAUUUGGAUGCAUUUUUAAAAUUAAGGGGAAAUUUUUUAAGGAGAAAUUUGAAAACCAAGAUGGGAGAAGAAUCUCAGUUUUUUAAUUCAUAUAUAAAGCUAUGCAUGAAGAGUAAUAUUGUUUUUAUGCUAUCCUUGUAAUUUACUGGACAAUCCGUGGCCUGUUAGUCAAUGUUUCAGAGAUAUUUUUUUUUUACUGAAAGAGAAAUAGAAUGUCCAAGGGCAGGCAAAAAAGCAAUGGGAGCAAAAGUGACUUCUGAUUUCCCACUGGUUUCCCUACUGAGUUUCCUUGUGGGAAUCUGGUAAGGGGCAUUGAAACUAUCCCCUUCCCUUCCCCUUCCAUUUUCCCUUCCCUCUUCUUUCCUACAAUACCCUACCCUAUCCUUUCUGUCAUAUUAGCAAGUGGCUGCUGUUGAGUGGAGAAGAGAAGGAAGGAUUGUAAGAUUGGCUGGAAGCUAUUGUGGAAUGUUGCAAAUGAAGAUCACAUGACUACAGCAGUUGCACAGCAGCAGCCAAUAGCACUGGAACAGCCACAACUUGCCCAAAUUUCAUUUCCUCAGGAGUCAGGAGUCCCAGAUUUUGGAUAUAUUCUAGCUUCGUAUACCUUUGACUGAAGAUCAGUACACUCCUCCUAUCUGGAAUGGUUAUCCUCAUCUAUCAAGCACAUAAGGACAUACAUGGAGCAGUCAAGGACGAAAGGGACAUCCACCCAUCUAAUUCAACUAGAUCAGCUGAAUCAACCCAGAUGAUCAGUGGGGAGAAAAAUGCCAAGACUUGGAAAGAAGCCAAUAAAGCACUAAUAUCUAAAGUGGGACAAGAUUUAAAUUUUAUCAAGAAACUAUAGACUGAUAU
Ahaetulla prasina is the source of this 1005-nucleotide long non-coding RNA. RefSeq lists it as uncharacterized. Lineage: Eukaryota; Metazoa; Chordata; Lepidosauria; Squamata; Colubridae. The record is from RefSeq and is a predicted model, not a curated record. The transcript has 3 exons.